This 542-nucleotide ribosomal RNA is filed under the name Microbacterium sp. Sd20. Its description in RNAcentral is "bacterial SSU rRNA". It matches the Rfam family "Bacterial small subunit ribosomal RNA", at positions 854 to 1395 of the family's 1533-position model. Lineage: Bacteria; Bacillati; Actinomycetota; Actinomycetes; Micrococcales; Microbacteriaceae. The record is from RNAcentral.
AACGCAUUAAGUUCCCCGCCUGGGGAGUACGGCCGCAAGGCUAAAACUCAAAGGAAUUGACGGGGACCCGCACAAGCGGCGGAGCAUGCGGAUUAAUUCGAUGCAACGCGAAGAACCUUACCAAGGCUUGACAUAUACGAGAACGGGCCAGAAAUGGUCAACUCUUUGGACACUCGUAAACAGGUGGUGCAUGGUUGUCGUCAGCUCGUGUCGUGAGAUGUUGGGUUAAGUCCCGCAACGAGCGCAACCCUCGUUCUAUGUUGCCAGCACGUAAUGGUGGGAACUCAUGGGAUACUGCCGGGGUCAACUCGGAGGAAGGUGGGGAUGACGUCAAAUCAUCAUGCCCCUUAUGUCUUGGGCUUCACGCAUGCUACAAUGGCCGGUACAAAGGGCUGCAAUACCGCGAGGUGGAGCGAAUCCCAAAAAGCCGGUCCCAGUUCGGAUUGAGGUCUGCAACUCGACCUCAUGAAGUCGGAGUCGCUAGUAAUCGCAGAUCAGCAACGCUGCGGUGAAUACGUUCCCGGGUCUUGUACACACCGCCC